Molecule: ribosomal RNA, 468 nt
Filed under: uncultured bacterium
Lineage: Bacteria
Description: partial 16S ribosomal RNA
Rfam family: Bacterial small subunit ribosomal RNA
Source: RNAcentral
GACGAACGCUGGCGGCGUGCUUAACACAUGCAAGUCGAACGGAAAGGCCCUGCUUUUGUGGGGUGCUCGAGUGGCGAACGGGUGAGUAACACGUGAGUAACCUGCCCUUGACUUUGGGAUAACUUCAGGAAACUGGGGCUAAUACCGGAUAGGAGCUCCUGCUGCAUGGUGGGGGUUGGAAAGUUUCGGCGGUUGGGGAUGGACUCGCGGCGUAUCAGCUUGUUGGUGGGGUAGUGGCUUACCAAGGCUUUGACGGGUAGCCGGCCUGAGAGGGUGAGCGGCGACAUUGGGACUGAGAGAAGGCCCAGACUCCUAAGGGAGGCAGCAGGGGGGAAUAUUGCAGAAGGGGCGGAAGCCUGAUGCAGCAACGCCGCGUGCGGGAUGACGGCCUUCGGGUGGUAAACCGCUUUCGCCUGUGACGAAGCGUGAGUGACGGUAAUGGGUAAAGAAGCACCGGCUAACUACGUG